Molecule: microRNA precursor, 101 nt
Filed under: Oryza sativa (Asian cultivated rice)
Lineage: Eukaryota; Viridiplantae; Streptophyta; Magnoliopsida; Poales; Poaceae
Description: miR2865 stem-loop (osa-MIR2865)
Source: miRBase by way of RNAcentral
GAUCUGAAUCCUCAGCAGUCGACUGUACCGUGCCUUUGUCAUUGAUCCACAUGUUAGUGAAAAAGGCACGGUGCAGUGACUGCAGAGGAUCUCAAUCCGGA